CAAUAGCGUAUAUUAAAGUUGUUGCAGUUAAAAGCUCGUAGUUGGAUUUCGGAGUGGGCCAGUUGGUCCGCCGCAAGGUGUGUUACUGACUGGUUUGCUCUUCUUCGCAAAGACUGCGUGUGCCCUUAAAUGAGUGUGCGUAGGAUUUACGACGUUUACUUUGAAAAAAUUAGAGUGUUCAAAGCAGGCGCUUCGCCUGAAUAAUGUUGCAUGGAAUAAUGGAAUAGGACCUCGGUCUAUUUUGUUGGUUUUCGGAACUUGAGGUAAUGAUUAAGAGGGACAGACGGGGGCAUUCGUAUUAACGCGUCAGAGGUGGAAUUCUUAGAUUGCGUUACGACGAACUACUGCGAAAGCAUUUGCCAAGGAUGUUUUCAUUGAUCAAGAACGAAAGUAUGGGGAUCGAAGACGAUUAGAU
Molecule: ribosomal RNA, 415 nt
Filed under: uncultured eukaryote
Lineage: Eukaryota
Description: bacterial SSU rRNA
Rfam family: Eukaryotic small subunit ribosomal RNA
Source: RNAcentral